UACGUAGGGGGCAAGCGUUGUCCGGAAUUAUUGGGCGUAAAGAGCGUGUAGGCGGUCCGGUAAGUCGGCUGUGAAAGUCCAGGGCUCAACCCUGGGAUGCCGGUCGAUACUGCCGGACUAGAGUUCGGAAGAGGCGAGUGGAAUUCCCGGUGUAGCGGUGAAAUGCGCAGAUAUCGGGAGGAACACGUAUGGCGAAGGCAGCUCGCUGGGACGUUACUGACGCUGAGACGCGAAAGCGUGGGGAGCAAGCAGG
RNAcentral lists this ribosomal RNA (253 nucleotides) under uncultured bacterium. Its description in RNAcentral is "partial 16S ribosomal RNA". It matches the Rfam family "Bacterial small subunit ribosomal RNA", at positions 524 to 776 of the family's 1533-position model. The record is from RNAcentral.